AUGGUGAAAAGAUUAUCUUAAGCUUGGAAUUAAGUGAUGAAAGGGACCUUAGAAAUGAUCAACUCUAAAUACUUCUUUACAGGAAAAUUGAAAGCAGUUAAGAACCUGCCCCCUGCCAUGGAGUUCUUGGUGCCGUGAGUUGGAGUUUUUGGUGCCUGGGUGCAUCCCCAAGGCCACUGGUCUUCAGAUGUUUCUUACUUGAGAAGAACGCCUCCGCCUCCUGGCUCUCCCACCAGUGGUACUGCUACCACCACACACCAGCAUAAAGCACAGAUUGCUGCCCAGCUCCUUGGAGAGGGGCCAGUGCAUUUGUCAGGAAUUGAAAAGUUUUGGAGCCAGUUCGAGGACUUUCUGCUGCACAAAGUGUUGGCUGGAAGCAUGUUUGUCUCUCUAUCGUUUCUCUUGGAGAGGUUGAUACAUUGAUGAGCUACGGAAAGCAAGAGGGAACAUGCCCAUCUAUUAAGAGGAGAAGAGAGACUAAAACAUACACAUUCACUAAGGAAGAGAAAGCCAAAUGUGAGAAACAAUAACACAUGGUUUGCCAAAGAAUCUGCAUUGAAUAAUACUGGUGGUGACCACAGGAACAUGCCUCUCUGACUGCAAGGAACAAGAGUGACCCAGGGUUUCAGCUGCUGCCUUGGAAAUUCAUCACAGUGCGAGUCUAUGCUUCCCACGGGCUGCUCCCAGCCUGUGAAUAAGCCUGGCAACUUUGUUGAGGCAGGCCUAUUUCUGGAGAUGCAGGAUCCUCCGAUGGGCGAAUUUGGCUCUAGGACUGCUUGAUGGCCUUGACAGACUUUCCUUAGAAAUGCAUGGCAAUUUAGGAUUCCUCCACCCUUCCCUCUUUCUCUCCUUCACCUAGGGUCAGACUUGCAUCAUGGCCUGAAAGUUCCCCCAGCCUCUCCUGCCCUCCUCCUCAUUUUCUUUCACAGGCAUAUCCUCUAAUAAAUUUCUUGCACAUUGAAUCUCAUCUUGGCAUCUACUUAUUGGAGGAUCCGAAAAUUCACAUUUUUAACACAAUAAUAAAAUUCACAUUUUUUCAUCAUCCACUAUAUGCCAAGUAAUGUGUUACUGUGUAGUCUCAUUAAAUCCUCUCAAAUCCAAGAGAUAAGAAUUACAUUUAUUUUACAAGAAGAAAAGCAGUCACUCUGAGAGGUAAAAUAAUGUAUAUGGCAGUAGAUUGCAGAGUUAGCAUUUGAAGAAUGUUCGGUUCUACUCCAAAGCCCACCACAAAACUCCACCACUAAA
Pongo pygmaeus (Bornean orangutan) is the source of this 1245-nucleotide long non-coding RNA. RefSeq lists it as uncharacterized. Lineage: Eukaryota; Metazoa; Chordata; Mammalia; Primates; Hominidae. The record is from RefSeq and is a predicted model, not a curated record. The transcript has 4 exons.